UGGGGAAUAUUGCACAAUGGAGGAAACUCUGAUGCAGCGACGCCGCGUGGAGGAAGAAGGUUUUCGGAUCGUAAACUCCUGUUGUCGGGGACGAUAAUGACGGUACCCGACAAGAAAGUGACGGCUAACUACGUGCCAGCAGCCGCGGUAAAACGUAGGUCACAAGCGUUGUCCGGAAUUACUGGGUGUAAAGGGAGCGCAGGCGGGGAGAUAAGUUGGGAGUGAAAACUAUGGGCUCAACCCAUAAAUUGCUUUCAAAACUAUCUUUCUUGAGUAGUGCAGAGGUAGGCGGAAUUCCCGGUGUAGCGGUGGAAUGCGUAGAUAUCGGGAGGAACACCAGUGGCGAAGGCGGCCUACUGGGCACCAACUGACGCUGAGGCUCGAAAGUAUGGGUAGCAAACAGG
RNAcentral lists this ribosomal RNA (404 nucleotides) under uncultured bacterium. Its description in RNAcentral is "bacterial SSU rRNA". It matches the Rfam family "Bacterial small subunit ribosomal RNA", at positions 355 to 776 of the family's 1533-position model. The record is from RNAcentral.